CCUGGUGCUAGAGCUCAAACUAUCUUAUCUGAAGACAACCAGGCCUUUUUGCAAAAGCCAAAAAUAGGAGAUUUAUUCCCUAAAAUAAUACUGGAAAAUAUGGUGGCAGUUCAUUAAAAUCCUGAU
This is a long non-coding RNA of Myotis daubentonii (Daubenton's bat), 126 nucleotides long. RefSeq lists it as uncharacterized. Lineage: Eukaryota; Metazoa; Chordata; Mammalia; Chiroptera; Vespertilionidae. The transcript is spliced from 3 exons. The record is from RefSeq and is a predicted model, not a curated record.